Molecule: transfer RNA, 62 nt
Filed under: Fukomys damarensis (Damara mole-rat)
Lineage: Eukaryota; Metazoa; Chordata; Mammalia; Rodentia; Bathyergidae
Rfam family: tRNA
About the family: Transfer RNA (tRNA) molecules are approximately 80 nucleotides in length. Their secondary structure includes four short double-helical elements and three loops (D, anti-codon, and T loops). Further hydrogen bonds mediate the characteristic L-shaped molecular structure. tRNAs have two regions of fundamental functional importance: the anti-codon, which is responsible for specific mRNA codon recognition, and the 3' end, to which the tRNAs corresponding amino acid is attached (by aminoacyl-tRNA synthetases). tRNAs cope with the degeneracy of the genetic code in two manners: having more than one tRNA (with a specific anti-codon) for a particular amino acid; and 'wobble' base-pairing, i.e. permitting non-standard base-pairing at the 3rd anti-codon position.
Source: Rfam by way of RNAcentral
GGGGAUGUAGCUUAGCGGUAGAGCACAUGCCCAGCAUGUGUGAGGCCCUGGGUUCAUCCCCA